Molecule: ribosomal RNA, 1053 nt
Filed under: Salmonella enterica subsp. enterica serovar Infantis
Lineage: Bacteria; Pseudomonadati; Pseudomonadota; Gammaproteobacteria; Enterobacterales; Enterobacteriaceae
Description: bacterial LSU rRNA
Rfam family: Bacterial large subunit ribosomal RNA
Source: RNAcentral
UGCUGGAGGUAUCAGAAGUGCGAAUGCUGACAUAAGUAACGAUAAAGCGGGUGAAAAGCCCGCUCGCCGGAAGACCAAGGGUUCCUGUCCAACGUUAAUCGGGGCAGGGUGAGUCGACCCCUAAGGCGAGGCCGAAAGGCGUAGUCGAUGGGAAACGGGUUAAUAUUCCCGUACUUGGUGUUACUGCGAAGGGGGGACGGAGAAGGCUAUGUUGGCCGGGCGACGGUUGUCCCGGUUUAAGCGUGUAGGUGUGUGUUCCAGGUAAAUCCGGUUCACUUUAACACUGAGGCGUGAUGACGAGGCACUACGGUGCUGAAGCAACAAAUGCCCUGCUUCCAGGAAAAGCCUCUAAGCAUCAGGUAACAUCAAAUCGUACCCCAAACCGACACAGGUGGUCAGGUAGAGAAUACCAAGGCGCUUGAGAGAACUCGGGUGAAGGAACUAGGCAAAAUGGUGCCGUAACUUCGGGAGAAGGCACGCUGACAUGUAGGUGAAGUGAUUUACUCAUGGAGCUGAAGUCAGUCGAAGAUACCAGCUGGCUGCAACUGUUUAUUAAAAACACAGCACUGUGCAAACACGAAAGUGGACGUAUACGGUGUGACGCCUGCCCGGUGCCGGAAGGUUAAUUGAUGGGGUCAGCGCAAGCGAAGCUCCUGAUCGAAGCCCCGGUAAACGGCGGCCGUAACUAUAACGGUCCUAAGGUAGCGAAAUUCCUUGUCGGGUAAGUUCCGACCUGCACGAAUGGCGUAAUGAUGGCCAGGCUGUCUCCACCCGAGACUCAGUGAAAUUGAACUCGCUGUGAAGAUGCAGUGUACCCGCGGCAAGACGGAAAGACCCCGUGAACCUUUACUAUAGCUUGACACUGAACAUUGAGCCUUGAUGUGUAGGAUAGGUGGGAGGCUUUGAAGCGUGGACGCCAGUCUGCGUGGAGCCGACCUUGAAAUACCACCCUUUAAUGUUUGAUGUUCUAACGUGGACCCGUAAUCCGGGUUGCGGACAGUGUCUGGUGGGUAGUUUGACUGGGGCGGUCUCCUCCUAAAGAGUAACGGAGGA